GGCCCCGUGGUCUAGCGGUUAGGACAUCACCCUUUCACGGUGGUAACAUGGGUUCGAGUCCCGUCGGGGUCACCA
This 75-nucleotide transfer RNA is filed under the name Mahella australiensis 50-1 BON. RNAcentral describes it as "tRNA-Glu (TTC) (tRNA-Glu-TTC-1-1)". It matches the Rfam family "tRNA". Rfam says of the family: Transfer RNA (tRNA) molecules are approximately 80 nucleotides in length. Their secondary structure includes four short double-helical elements and three loops (D, anti-codon, and T loops). The record is from RNAcentral. Lineage: Bacteria; Bacillati; Bacillota; Clostridia; Mahellales; Mahellaceae.